RNAcentral lists this long non-coding RNA (1133 nucleotides) under Hordeum vulgare. Its description in RNAcentral is "long non-coding RNA (HVUL_LNC000186)". The record is from RNAcentral. Lineage: Eukaryota; Viridiplantae; Streptophyta; Magnoliopsida; Poales; Poaceae.
AUGCAACAACCGUGUAGUGGAUGCAGAAAUUAACGUGCCUCAAGACCGGUGUACUAAUUUAGGACAGUAAAACUGAGCCUAAUCUCUGUCCUCUCAGCGUUUCGCGUUUCUGGCCAUCCGUACUACGGAUUUGCACGUUUUUAGCCGUCUGAUCUUGAGUGUGCAGCGAUCUCUCCCGCACCUUUCAAUUUUUGGCCCAGCUGUCCUAAGGCCCGCUACUCCAGAGGCCGAAUCGAAGCCAUCUGGUCAACUAGGCCUUUUCGCAGCCCAGUUAGCGAAGCAGUACACUCCGUGACCUCGCCAUGCCGCCGAUCUCGCGGUCAGCGAAAACAGAUCGCCGCAUCGAUUGGAUCGGUCAAUGGUGUGCCUGCCCCGCCGCUGCCAUGGCCACCAUCCAUCGGAGAAUCCUCCUGCCGCCAUAGAUCGCCGCAUCGACCCUCGCCAUAUAUUCAUGACAACUCUUCCCUUCUCCACCUUCACAACGGCGGCACGGGUUGUGGUGAUGCAGAGGCAGUUAUAGGGUUCCGCUCCACAGAAUCAGGUCUACCGGUAGUCGAGAGCUAACCCUCCUUUCGAUUCUACCUCAAUAAAAGAAAGAAAUAGAUGGCGAUACAGAGAGAUGUUGUCGACGCGGGGAUCAGCCGAUCCAUUAAUGGAAACAAAAUUGAACCAAUUCAACCGACUGGAAUCGUUUCAAUCAAGCAUUGAUCGAGCAACGAUGAGGAUUCGUGGUUUGAAGUUGAUCCCGUCAGCUUCUCGAUGGGCAACCUAAUCGAUUGACAUGUGCACACUUAACCGAAGGUACAAAUUUACCAUGCAACUGCAUUGUGUUUGAAGCACUUCCAGGCCCAUCAUUUGGGCCAAAAAGAAUCAACUAGCCGAAAGGGAUCCAAAUUCUUCCUAAUGAGCUAGGUAGGCCACAGCAACAUCUAAGUCCAUCUGGACCGGUUCUGGAUUUCCAUUUUUGGUACUUCAUAGUUAAUGCAUGAGGAUAUGUUCUGAAUGGUGGUACAUAAUUACAAAAGUAUAAUACAACUAAAUGUUGAUUUGUAGAAACAUGGGUAUCUGUACUGAAUUGGAGCCAGAAUUAUAAAAGUAUGUAUGACUUUAUGCAUGUGUGUGAGAAUCACCCU